CCGCCCGGGGCGCGCCCCGGGCGGGGCGGGGGCACGGGGGGAACGCGAAGAACCUUACCUGGUCUUGACAUAGUGAGAAUCCUGCAGAGAUGCGGGAGUGCCUUCGGGAAUUCACAUACAGGUGCUGCAUGGCUGUCGUCAGCUCGUGUCGUGAGAUGUUGGGUUAAGUCCCGCAACGAGCGCAACCCUUUUCCUUAUUUGCCAGCGGGUUAAGCCGGGAACUUUAAGGAUACUGCCAGUGACAAACUGGAGGAAGGCGGGGACGACGUCAAGUCAUCAUGGCCCUUACGACCAGGGCUACACACGUGCUACAAUGGUAGGUACAGAGGGUUGCUACACAGCGAUGUGAUGCUAAUCUCAAAAAGCCUAUCGUAGUCCGGAUUGGAGUCUGCAACUCGACUCCAUGAAGUCGGAAUCG
This 418-nucleotide ribosomal RNA is filed under the name uncultured bacterium. Its description in RNAcentral is "bacterial SSU rRNA". It matches the Rfam family "Bacterial small subunit ribosomal RNA", at positions 934 to 1330 of the family's 1533-position model. The record is from RNAcentral.